AUGAUGAUGCGCAAGCACGGCCUCUCCAGCGACAAGGUGCUCGACGCCACGCUGGUCAACGCCGGCAUGGGGGAGGACCUCUUCUGGGCCAUCCGGGGCGGCGGCGGCGGCAACUUUGGCAUCGUGCUCUCGUGGAAGGUCCAGCUGGUGCAGGUCCCGUCGACGGUGGUGGCGUUCAACAUCGCCAAGACGGCCGAGCAGGGCGCCGUGGACAUCCUCACGAAAUGGCAGGACGUGGCGCCGUCGCUACCCAGCGACAUCACCCUAAGGGUGAUCGUGCGUGGGCAGCAGGCCAUGUUUCAGGCCCUGUACCUGGGCGGGUGCGGCUCGCUGGUGGCGAUGAUGGAGGACCAGUUCCCGGAGCUGGGCAUGACGAGCGCCGACUGCCAGCCGAUGAGCUGGGCGCAGUCGGCGGCCACGCCGUUCCUCAGCUUCGGCAGGAACGGCACGCUGGAGGAGGCGCUCCUGAACAGGACCACCAGCCUGAGCAGGUCCAACAAGGGCAAGUCGGACUACGUCCGGCGCGCCAUCCCCAAGGCGGCGUGGGAGGACAUCUUCCCCUGGUUCGCCAGGGUUCAUCCUGCUGGAGCCCCACGGCGGUACAUCGUGACGUGGCCAAAGGAGGGCGGGGACGGCGGCACGGCGGCGACGGCAUGGAUCGAGGGCCUGUACGAGUUGAUGGGGCGGCACGUGAGCAAGAACCCGAGGCGGGCGUACGUCAACUUCCGGGACCUGGACAUCGGGCAGAACGACGAGGUGGCCGGCGGCACGUUCGAGGGCGGCGCGGCCUGGGGCGAGCGCUACUUCGUGGGCAACUACCGGCGGCUGGCGGCGGUGAAGGCGGCCGUGGAUCCCACCAACUACUUCAGGAACGAGCAGAGCAUCCCGCCGUUGCGUUGA
RNAcentral lists this ribosomal RNA (900 nucleotides) under Triticum aestivum (bread wheat). RNAcentral's name for it is "partial small subunit ribosomal RNA". Lineage: Eukaryota; Viridiplantae; Streptophyta; Magnoliopsida; Poales; Poaceae. The record is from RNAcentral.